Molecule: RNase P RNA, 416 nt
Filed under: Treponema sp.
Lineage: Bacteria; Pseudomonadati; Spirochaetota; Spirochaetia; Treponematales; Treponemataceae
Description: RNase P RNA component class A
Rfam family: Bacterial RNase P class A
About the family: Ribonuclease P (RNase P) is a ubiquitous endoribonuclease, found in archaea, bacteria and eukarya as well as chloroplasts and mitochondria.
Source: RNAcentral
GCGAUGAACCAGGCUGCCGCCUGACCGUUUGAUUGAUAUUUCAAGCGGUUGGGAGGAAAGUCCGGGCUCCGCAGGGCAUGAUGCCGGGUAACACCCGGGACUGAUCACUUAAAAUUAAAUGGUCAGGACAGAUAGCGCCACAGAAAAUAUACCGCCUGGCCGCUUAAAUUAAUAAUUUUAGCGGCCGGGUAAGGGUGAAAAGGCGGGGUAAGAGCCCACCUCUUUGGUGGCAACAACGAAGGAAAGGCAAGCCUCAUCAGGAGCAAAGUCAAGUAAGCGCAAAAAAGGGUUAACCCUUUUUCACCGGCUGCCCGCCGGGUAAGCGCGGGUAGACUGCUGCAAAAAUACCGGAAACGGCUUUUUUAGACAGAUGGCAGCGUUAUAAUACAGAACCCGGCUUAUGGUUCAUCGCAUUA